ACUGUGANCCUUGUGAUUUAGCUGGUGAGAAUGGCUUGAGCUUGGUCAAAUUGGUUGAAAUUCGGAAUCUGCGUAGCAGCAGGUCCUCACCUUUUGGUGGGGAUGCGCGAGGCACUUAUCAAGUGUUGCGCGUUCCAUGUUUUUCGUGCCAGCUUGCCAGUGCACUUUCACAGGGUGUUCACCACGACCGGCAUCGCUGUCUGGCUGUUGCGGUUAAACCGGCCUUUCAUUGUCCUCGUGGCUUUGGAUUGUCGGGAUGGCAGGUAGCUCGCUAACUAGGCUUGUGGCUUGCUGCAGGCUCUAGCUCUCGGGUGUAAUUUGCUGACCGCAUUGGCACUGUGCAGUAUGUCGGAGACGGCGGCUUGUGGUGUGUGCGUGCGUGCCAGUUGGCUGGCGUGUCCGGGUUUGGUUGUUAUGUUGCCUGUGUUCACAGGCCUGAUAAUAGCUCGGGCUCGUUCGGCUGGCGGUUGCGUGCGUGGCACUUUCCAGGGCCAAUAGUCUGUGGUGUUGCGGUAGACUAUCCACCUGACCCGUCUUGAAACACGGACCAAGGAGAGUAACAUGUGCGCGAGUCAUUGGGCGUAACGAAACCCAAAGGCGAAGUGAAAGUAAAGGUCUGGCUUGUCCGGACUGAGGUGAGAUCUUGUCGUUUCUCACGCGCGGUAUUACCAAGCAUCGAACGGCAGGCGCAUCACCGGCCCGUCCCAUGGUGUGGUGACUCUCUUCGGGGGGUUCAUCACCGGGGCGGAGCAUGAGCGUACAUGUUGAGACCCGAAAGAUGGUGAACUAUGCUUGCGCAGGUUGAAGCCAGAGGAAACUCUGGUGGAGGACCGUAGCGAUUCUGACGUGCAAAUCGAUCGUCAGACGUGAGUAUAGGGGC
This 880-nucleotide ribosomal RNA is filed under the name Pelaezia loossi. RNAcentral's name for it is "partial 28S ribosomal RNA". It matches the Rfam family "Eukaryotic large subunit ribosomal RNA", at positions 534 to 924 of the family's 3401-position model. The record is from RNAcentral. Lineage: Eukaryota; Metazoa; Platyhelminthes; Trematoda; Opisthorchiida; Cryptogonimidae.